CAAAUUCCCAGUUUAUUCCCAUUUAUUCCUGUUCAUUUUCGUAUAUAUUCCCGUUAAUUCCCAUGGAAAGUUUCCAACUUUGAAAAUUCCCGGAAUUUUGCAACCCUAGUUACCAUGCAGGCUAACAUUACAGACACAUAUGACGUGUUAACGUUAAUUAGCUCUAGCAGUAAUAACAGUUACCUUGUGAACUUCCAUGGGACAUAGGUAGGUAACAUUAUUUUUACAUUAUUACAUUAUUAUACAUACAUAAUAUACAUGUAGUGUUGCUAUAACGUGUUAACUGGAAAGAUGACCUGUAAAACAAAUGAAUAAAGUCAUAUAUAAGUUAUAUCUAUACCCACUGAUUUAAGGAACUAAGGAACUGCAGUUUAGUAUAGCCAUGGUCAUUAACAGACCUGUCAUAUAAUGGAUGUGAAUGGGGGCAAGUAUGAUGGGUGAGUAUGCCGACAAGUAAAGGGAUCUUUAGUUUGUUAAGGGUAGUGUUAGGCUACAUGUUUUUAAUUUAUUAGCCCUUAUUUGAUGUACCUGACUUGCACUGAGGCAUGUGUUUAUUUAAGAUGCAUGUGAGUGAAGUAGUGCUUCAGUGAUGGUCUUUUCAUGUUCUGUGUGUUUUGGAACUUAUUAAUCUUAGUCUCUAUAUGUGUUCCCUCUGUUUGCUGUCGGUGUGUUGUGAGGACUGCUGCCCUGAGAACGCUGAGUGCAUUCUGGAAUAUUCCAAAUGUGUGCCACUUCAAUACUGAAGAAGUUCCAAGCCUGCAAGAGAUUUCACUCACCAGUGGGCUCCAUCAACUAUCCAGGGCAAAGUCAAUCCGUCUGGAUGGCACUACCUGCUACCUGAUAAUGUCUGAUAGCCAUGGCUGCUGCCUUCAACGUGGUAGCCCUCACAAGUAAACUGAUAUCAAGACUUAACAUAGAUGGUGAUGGUGGCAAGGGUGCCUUCAGAAGGUGCUAUCCAGCAGUCCCAGCCUGGAGCCAGAAGCUGCUAUUGCAAGUCAGAUGGGGGAGGAAAGGUGGUGUAGGCAAGAAGGCAAGAGCUGCUGCAGGCAAUGUUGCAAUUAGAUGCUGUCUUCAGCGAACACAAAACCACCCUGACCCGAAUAAUGGACACCAUGGGAAGAUAUUUGAAGUAUGCACCGGAGAGGGUGGGUGGUGGUGGCCGUCGGAAGACACUCCCUGCUGUUGCUGAAUGAUGCCAUCGGUAUACAUGCACAGCCUCUCGCAGAGGAGGUAUCAAGCUUUUUAAAAGUGUGGGGGUUUUGAGAUAGGGAAGUGAAACAAUCUGGCCAAAUUAUAAAUAACUCCCUGCAGAGAUGUUGUAAGUAUUUUCUGAGAGGGGUGCGGACUAUAUUGGAGGUUAUUGGAAUGUUUUGAAAUUCUGAUUGCUAAAUAGCCUACACCAUUUUAAUGUAGUGUGAGAGGGACAGAACAAGCAGCGCCCGUAGCACACGUAGCCUAGGCCGACAUUAUCUACUUGCUAUCACUGCACUAUUUGCCUAGGCCUACAUUAUCUACCUGCUAUCACUGCACUAUUUGCCUAGGCCUACAUUAUCUACCUGCUAUCACUGCACUAUUUGACACUACCCUGGAGACACAUUUCAUGUUAUAAAUGAAGAAAUCAAUUCAGAAAUCAUGUUUUGUGCAUAUGGGUUAGCAGGCUACAAUAAAUUGCCUAACAGAGGUAUCACUGGACUAUUAAUAUGCCUAACUAUAAUACCUAUUAAAUAAAUGUAAAGGACACAGAAUAAUGACAGAACUGUAAGCUCAAAUUCAAAAAUGUUUGAAGUCUACCCAAACAUAAGGGAAUAUAAAUAAAUUGUGUUGCAUAUAGCCAGCUUAAUUAAUGUCAAUUUAAAGAUUAUGAUUAGCAGUUUCUAUGCUGUUUCCAAUGAUAAUUACAGGAAGCCACGUUAUUGUUUAAACUAUUGUUGCUUCUAGCCCACGUUACCUUUCACUUGCUGCAGGGACGCACACAUUGCAUGAGCGCUCAUAAGCGUUCUAUUUGAGUUUUACAUAGCCUACUGGAAAUCUUAGUUCUCAGAUGUAGAACUCAAACGCCGCCGUUUGUAAGAUCAAAUAAGACGUUCUAAAUGGAACGUGAUGUAAUGAAGCUGUUUUUUCCAAGCGUCUUGGAGACGUAUGUGUGCUGACUGGGCUAUGUCUAUAUAGUUGAUGACACCAAAUUAAUAAGUAGGCUAUUUCUGAUUGGGGAAACGUUUAGCCUAGUUUAUUUUUCUUUCAGUUUCUUUCAGUCCGGUUCUGCAAAUGAUCAGAUGUGUGAAGCACCGGGCAUAACUUAAUUUCGCGGCUACGCGCAGUAGGCUAAUUGUUGAGGAGGCCCAUAGUUUGAGAAAGGCUGCAGAUCAUAGACAGAGAAAGCAUAAUGCUCUGAGAACAGUAGCCAAGGGCCUUUCUGCAGAAACAACAAGUGCCUUGGUGCGCACACCCCUGCUUUCACUUUGACUCCCUGCAUUUCUACAUUGUGACAAAAACUGUAAGUCAGUGAAUUUUCGUUUAGCAUAAUGCGGUAACAAUUAUCAUUUCAAUUCUACCUCAAAUCUGAUCACUGCAGACGUUAUAAUACAGACCCAAGCAGCAACACAGCCUUGAAAGACGCACACUUAGAAUUUGAUCAGAGCGGAAUUAGAUCUUCACUGACGCUAACUUGAUGUGAUUGGCUGGAUGACCGUUCAAUCAAAUCAACAGACCUAUUUGUGUCUCUCUGUGUGUGUGCGUCAUCAGAGCCCGCCCUCAUUAGACAUACGGUUCCAACUCUUUACGGGAGCGUUUAUUUCCAUAUUUUACUUUCGUUUUAAUCUGACAAAAAAGUGUGGGGGAUAGAAUUGUGUUCCAGCAAAAAUGUGUACGUUACCCACAAUCCCCCAAUGGAUAGAUCAUUUAUGUUGUAAACAUAAAACAAAAUAAAAUAAUGUAAAUAAAUAUAUAAGUUGACUGGUU
Long non-coding RNA from Alosa sapidissima (American shad), 2958 nucleotides. RefSeq lists it as uncharacterized. Lineage: Eukaryota; Metazoa; Chordata; Actinopteri; Clupeiformes; Clupeidae. The transcript is spliced from 5 exons. The record is from RefSeq and is a predicted model, not a curated record.